This 288-nucleotide unclassified non-coding RNA is filed under the name Spiromastigoides warcupii. RNAcentral's name for it is "Spiromastix warcupii partial internal transcribed spacer region". The stretch from base 1 to 46 matches the Rfam family "Eukaryotic small subunit ribosomal RNA", at positions 1786 to 1831 of the family's 1831-position model. Lineage: Eukaryota; Fungi; Ascomycota; Eurotiomycetes; Onygenales; Spiromastigoidaceae. RNAcentral also lists the same sequence under 1 other name. The record is from RNAcentral.
AAGUCGUAACAAGGUUUCCGUAGGUGAACCUGCGGAAGGAUCAUUACCGUGCCCGCGAGUGCCGGCCCCCCUCGAAACCGAGGAGGCGAUUGGCCGGCGCCGCGUUCGGCCCAACCGUGUCUAUCUGAACCUGUUGCUUCGGCGGGCCUGCGGGUCUUGCUCGCUGCCGGGGGCCCCUGCGGUUCCGGGCGCGUGUCCGCCGAAGACGCCUAGAACUACUGUUGAAGUUGGCGGUCUGAGUAGGCUUGAUAAUCAUUAAAACUUUCAACAACGGAUCUCUUGGUUCCG